RNAcentral lists this long non-coding RNA (2354 nucleotides) under Gallus gallus (chicken). Its description in RNAcentral is "lncRNA (ENSGALG00010012728.1)". Lineage: Eukaryota; Metazoa; Chordata; Aves; Galliformes; Phasianidae. The record is from RNAcentral.
AAUUUAAGCUCCAGAUCCAGCUAGAUCUGUCCCUAGGCUGAUUUACUCCUGGAGGAUCAGGGGAUGGCCUGCAAGGUGUCCUGGGCUCGUUGCCAUUUCCAUUUGUCUCCCAGCCCUUCAUGUGGGGCAGCACUGGGGGGCAGCUGAGCUCAGUGCUACCCUCAGCCCCUUCUGCUCGGUCUGCAUGUGUUCCCAUUAGGGGCGAAACACAGCACAGACUGCACUGAGAUUUCUGCUGGGGGGUUUAAGAAGGCAGAAAAUACAUCAGUGGGGAAUAUAUAUACAUAUAUAUAUAUGUAUGUGUGUGUAUGCAUAUAUAUAUACACACGUAUAAAUGCAUAGGACAGCUGCUUUAGUUGAUGGGAACUAUGUGAAAAGUGCUGGGAUUUCCUAAGCCCUUCCCUAAGGGCUGUGCAUGUAAUACAGUGAAGAAAGAUUGUAUAUUUAAAGGGGGUCAAAAGGAGAGGCAGCCAGGAGAGCUUGGGAGAAAAACAGGCUGCUCCUGGAGUGUUUGGGGUGGGUGUUUGGGCUGUAGGGACGUUUCCAUGAGGUCUGGCUGGGGUCUGUUAGUGUUGGAGCAUCGCCCCUCCACGGUCUGUGAGGCGCCAGAGGGUGCUCGUGCACCGCAGUGCAGAGCUGUCCUCUUCCUCAGCCAUUUUAAACCGAAUGUUUUCCUCUCCUGCAGUCUCCAUUUUAUGUUUCCAGUGCAGAAAAUAGAACAGGGAUUACUGGGGGAGGAAGGGAAGGGGGGGAGAGGUGCCGAGGCAAAGCCCAGCGCUGGGGGAGGGCGGGUAUGGGACGGUGUGAGGGGCUCCCUUGGGAGGAUGCUGGAAGUGGGCUCUGCAGGGAUGCUCUGCUUUAUCCCCCUGCCAGCCCCGAGCCCUCCCCGUGCUGCUUCAGAGUGUGGCAUCACUUUUUGGCCCUCAUCUCUGCACCCAGCUGGGCGCAUCACCGCAGGCCCUAUGGGAUCUGCAGGGCUGCUCCUGCCUGCCUUCCCUCUUUCCUUGCUGAGGAUGCUGAGUUCUGUUCUCGUCCCGUUUCCUCCCUGCCCACGCGUGCUGGGUGGGAUGUUGUCCCAGGUUUGUUACCAGCACGUCACCUUUCCCAGCUGCACGGAAAGCCCCGCGAGAACCUCCAGCAUGCAAUAGCUGAGUGCUUGUUGGCAUGGCCUCUAUUUCUAGGAACUGCCCUUUAUCAUCACUGUGCAGCACAGGGGGGGCCAGGCAGGCAUUUCUCAAUCCGGGAUAUGAAGCAAACUCUGCAUUCGUUUCCAGAAGGGAAUAUCAUGGAGCAGACCCAAAGGGCAGCUCCUAACCCCUGGGUUACGUGUGCAGCAAUGGCAGCUGGUGUCGCAGUGUCCAGCUGACCCCACAGCAGGUAACACAGCCAGGUAACACCGCAGCUCCUUCCCGCAUCCAUCUGUCCACUCUUCACUGAUGUGUCCCACUCGCUCUCAGCCCUGGGCCCGGUUUAUCCUCAAGCCCUUUCAUCCCCCGUGAUUCCCCCUCUGUUGCUCCCCUCGCAGUGUGACUUUGCAGCUUAAUGGAGCUUUUUGUUCUGCUCGUACCCGACUGCUUUUCAUCUUUCUUUCCUUCCCACAGCCGUGCACAAAGAGGCUUCUCAGGAAGAUGAUAAACAUCCUAAGAACUGCUGUGGCUUCUGGAGACGCUCACAUCAGUGUCUUUUCCUUUAAACAUCCUGAGCUGAAGGGCCCUUUGCCUCUGAUGUCAUUCGUGCCCACACAGCCGAAAAUAGGUGCUGAGUUCUGGCAUGUAAAGCCAGCAGUGCGUGAAGUGGAGUUGCUAACAGCUCAGGAGCUGCCUGAGCUGCUGAGAGCCCCUUGGGAAGAGGUAUGUGCCAGUGUAUAUGAGGUCUGUGCGUGGAAGAGACAAAGGCUGGUCACAAAGCAGGGGGCUUCUGCUCAGCCUGGAACAGCAGAGGGGCGGGAUGGGGCUGAGCAGAGGGUGCUGGUAGUGUUGCGCUCAGGGCUGGGUGCUCCAGGGGUCUGCCAGGAGCAAUGCUUGGCCCUGCCCCUACUCCUGCAGGGGAAUAAGGGGUUAAAAAGGGUGGUGGCACAAUUCAAGCAUCCAUUCAUCUCUCUGUUUUCUUGGUGCUUGUGGGGCUGGGGGCCAUAGCACUGCCACACCAGGGUGGCAAGAGUCCCACCAGGCUGGUGGCAGGGAUGGGUCACCAUUGAACAGCCAAAUGUGGGUGGCUGCAUUCCACAGCUCCAGAAAGCUGCAGAAUGAGGGAGAGAUCAGGAUAUGUGAGCUGGAGCCUUGCCCAAGGGCUUUUGUUUUCUUGUCAUCGUUCCCUUUAAUAUAAAGCUGUUUCUUGUGGCUCUGCAGCUGUGG